Pelobates cultripes (western spadefoot toad) is the source of this 220-nucleotide non-coding RNA. The record is from the annotation of a GenBank genome assembly. NCBI's taxonomy places the organism in Eukaryota, Metazoa, Chordata, Amphibia, Anura, Pelobatidae.
GGAACCACUGUGAUACAGGAAAAUUUACAGUUGAACAAGCACAUAUCAAAAUUCUAGGUUUUGUUUUGAUUAUGAAAUGAGAAUAUUGUCUUGGUCCUUGAAGAGCUAAACUGUACCUGUCAUGUCACCACACAUUUGUUAUAUUUAAAGUAAAUAAAAUGUAAUCUGGUCAAACAGGGUUUUUAUCAACAAGUUUCAAAUAUUAUAUAUCACAACAAAC